UGGGGAAUAUUGCACAAUGGGGGAAACCCUGAUGCAGCGACCCCGCGUGGAGGAAGAAGGUCUUCGGAUUGUAAACUCCUGUUGUUGGGGAAGAUAAUGACGGUACCCAACAAGGAAGUGACGGCUAACUACGUGCCAGCAGCCGCGGUAAAACGUAGGUCACAAGCGUUGUCCGGAAUUACUGGGUGUAAAGGGAGCGCAGGCGGGAAGACAAGUUGGAAGUGAAAUCUAUGGGCUCAACCCAUAAACUGCUUUCAAAACUGUUUUUCUUGAGUAGUGCAGAGGUAGGCGGAAUUCCCGGUGUAGCGGUGGAAUGCGUAGAUAUCGGGAGGAACACCAGUGGCGAAGGCGGCCUACUGGGCACCAACUGACGCUGAGGCUCGAAAGUGUGGGUAGCAAACAGGAUUAGAUACCCUGGUAGUCCACACCGUAAACGAUGAUUACUAGGUGUUGGAGGAUUGACCCCUUCAGUGCCGCAGUUAACACAAUAAGUAAUCCACCUGGGGAGUACGACCGCAAGGUUGAAACUCAAAGGAAUUGACGGGGGCCCGCACAAGCAGUGGAGUAUGUGGUUUAAUUCGACGCAACGCGAAGAACCUUACCAAGUCUUGACAUCCCUUGACAGGCAUAGAAAUAUGUUUUCUCUUCGGAGCAAGGAGACAGGUGGUGCAUGGUUGUCGUCAGCUCGUGUCGUGAGAUGUUGGGUUAAGUCCCGCAACGAGCGCAACCCUUAUGGUCAGUUACUACGCAAGAGGACUCUGGCCAGACUGCCGUUGACAAAACGGAGGAAGGUGGGGAUGACGUCAAAUCAUCAUGCCCUUUAUGACUUGGGCUACACACGUACUACAAUGGCGUUAAACAAAGAGAAGCAAGACCGCGAGGUGGAGCAAAACUCAGAAACAACGUCCCAGUUCGGACUGCAGGCUGCAACUCGCCUGCACGAAGUCGGAAUUGCUAGUAAUCGUGGAUCAGCAUGCCACGGUGAAUACGUUCCC
RNAcentral lists this ribosomal RNA (995 nucleotides) under uncultured bacterium. RNAcentral describes it as "bacterial SSU rRNA". It matches the Rfam family "Bacterial small subunit ribosomal RNA", at positions 355 to 1375 of the family's 1533-position model. The record is from RNAcentral.